Molecule: ribosomal RNA, 801 nt
Filed under: Streptococcus salivarius
Lineage: Bacteria; Bacillati; Bacillota; Bacilli; Lactobacillales; Streptococcaceae
Description: bacterial SSU rRNA
Rfam family: Bacterial small subunit ribosomal RNA
Source: RNAcentral
CUUGCUCUUCUUGGAUGAGUUGCGAACGGGUGAGUAACGCGUAGGUAACCUGCCUUGUAGCGGGGGAUAACUAUUGGAAACGAUAGCUAAUACCGCAUAACAAUGGGUGACUCAUGUCAUUUAUUUGAAAGGGGCAAAUGCUCCACUACAAGAUGGACCUGCGUUGUAUUAGCUAGUAGGUGAGGUAACGGCUCACCUAGGCGACGAUACAUAGCCGACCUGAGAGGGUGAUCGGCCACACUGGGACUGAGACACGGCCCAGACUCCUACGGGAGGCAGCAGUAGGGAAUCUUCGGCAAUGGGGGCAACCCUGACCGAGCAACGCCGCGUGAGUGAAGAAGGUUUUCGGAUCGUAAAGCUCUGUUGUAAGUCAAGAACGAGUGUGAGAGUGGAAAGUUCACACUGUGACGGUAGCUUACCAGAAAGGGACGGCUAACUACGUGCCAGCAGCCGCGGUAAUACGUAGGUCCCGAGCGUUGUCCGGAUUUAUUGGGCGUAAAGCGAGCGCAGGCGGUUUGAUAAGUCUGAAGUUAAAGGCUGUGGCUCAACCAUAGUUCGCUUUGGAAACUGUCAAACUUGAGUGCAGAAGGGGAGAGUGGAAUUCCAUGUGUAGCGGUGAAAUGCGUAGAUAUAUGGAGGAACACCGGUGGCGAAAGCGGCUCUCUGGUCUGUAACUGACGCUGAGGCUCGAAAGCGUGGGGAGCGAACAGGAUUAGAUACCCUGGUAGUCCACGCCGUAAACGAUGAGUGCUAGGUGUUGGAUCCUUUCCGGGAUUCAGUGCCGUAGCUAACGCAUUAAGC